CGGCGCUGUGGCGCCGGUUCGUUGCGGAGGAUGCCGGCCGAGCGAUCAGCCGGCAUUCUCCGUUUCUG
RNAcentral lists this small RNA (68 nucleotides) under Sinorhizobium meliloti 2011. Its description in RNAcentral is "putative ncRNA". The record is from RNAcentral. Lineage: Bacteria; Pseudomonadati; Pseudomonadota; Alphaproteobacteria; Hyphomicrobiales; Rhizobiaceae.